Molecule: ribosomal RNA, 497 nt
Filed under: uncultured bacterium
Lineage: Bacteria
Description: partial 16S ribosomal RNA
Rfam family: Bacterial small subunit ribosomal RNA
Source: RNAcentral
GAUGAACGCUGGCGGCGUGCCUAAUACAAGCAAGUCGAGCGGACAGACGAGGAGCUUGCUCCUCUGACGUUAGCGGCGGACGGGUGAGUAACACGUGGAUAACCUACCUAUAAGACUGGGAUAACUUCGGGAAACCGGAGCUAAUACCGGAUAAUAUAUUGAACCGCAUGGUUCAAUAGUGAAAGACGGUUUUGCUGUCACUUAUAGAUGGAUCCGCGCCGCAUUAGCUAGUUGGUAAGGUAACGGCUUACCAAGGCAACGAUGCGUAGCCGACCUGAGAGGGUGAUCGGCCACACUGGAACUGAGACACGGUCCAGACUCCUACGGGAGGCAGCAGUAGGGAAUCUUCCGCAAUGGGCGAAAGCCUGACGGAGCAACGCCGCGUGAGUGAUGAAGGUCUUCGGAUCGUAAAACUCUGUUAUUAGGGAAGAACAAAUGUGUAAGUAACUAUGCACGUCUUGACGGUACCUAAUCAGAAAGCCACGGCUAACUACGUG